RNAcentral lists this ribosomal RNA (303 nucleotides) under uncultured bacterium. RNAcentral describes it as "partial 16S ribosomal RNA". It matches the Rfam family "Bacterial small subunit ribosomal RNA", at positions 507 to 807 of the family's 1533-position model. The record is from RNAcentral.
AGCAGUCGCCACGGGAAUACGAAGGGGGCUAGCGUUGUUCGGAAUUACUGGGCGUAAAGGGCGCGUAGGCGGCCAUUCAAGUUAGAUGUGAAAGCCCUGGGCUCAACCUAGGAAUUGCAUUUGAUACUGUUUGGCUUGAGUUCGGGAGAGGUGAGUGGAAUUCCCAGUGUAGAGGUGAAAUUCGUAGAUAUUGGGAAGAACACCAGUGGCGAAGGCGGCUCACUGGACCGACACUGACGCUGAGGCGCGAAAGCGUGGGGAGCAAACAGGAUUAGAUACCCCCGUAGUCCCUGUCUCUUAUAC